UACAGAGGUCCCGAGCGUUGUUCGGAUUCAUUGGGCGUAAAGGGUGCGUAGGCGGCAGAGUAAGUUGGAUGUGAAAUCCUGGGGCUCAACCUCAGAAUUGCAUUCAAUACUGCUUUGCUAGAGAGCUGUAGAGGAGACUGGAAUUUACGGUGUAGCAGUGAAAUGCGUAGAUAUCGUAAGGAAGACCAGUGGCGAAGGCGAGUUCCUGGACAGUUACUGACGCUGAGGCACGAAGGCCAGGGGAGCAAACGGG
RNAcentral lists this ribosomal RNA (253 nucleotides) under uncultured prokaryote. RNAcentral describes it as "partial 16S ribosomal RNA". It matches the Rfam family "Bacterial small subunit ribosomal RNA", at positions 524 to 776 of the family's 1533-position model. The record is from RNAcentral.